CUACGGGACGCUGCAGUAAGGAAUAUUGCGCAAUGGAGGCAACUCUGACGCAGCCAUGCCGCGUGCAGGAAGAAGGCCUUAUGGGUCGUAAACUGCUUUUAUUUAGGAAUAAACCCUCGCUCGUGAGCGAGGCUGAAGGUACUGAAUGAAUAAGCACCGGCUAACUCCGGCCAGCAGCCGCGGUAAUACGGAGGGUGCAAGCGUUAUCCGGAUUUAUUGGGUUUAAAGGUGCGCAGGCGGGCUAUUAAGUCAGUGGUGAAAUCCCGGGGCUCAACUCCGGAACUGCCAUUGAUACUGAUAGUCUUGAGUUUGGUUGAAGUGGGCGGAAUGUAGCGUGUAGCGGUGAAAUGCAUAGAUAUGCUACAGAACACCAAUCGCGAAGGCAGCUCACUAAGCCAAAACUGACGCUCAUGCACGAAAGCGUGGGGAUCAAACAGGAUUAGAUACCCGGGUAGUC
Molecule: ribosomal RNA, 457 nt
Filed under: uncultured bacterium
Lineage: Bacteria
Description: partial 16S ribosomal RNA
Rfam family: Bacterial small subunit ribosomal RNA
Source: RNAcentral